UCAACCUAAACGUCAAAGGAAGGCUAACUGGGGAGACGACGAGUCUCUCCAGCUUGCAAUGUUAUACAGGGACGAAGUCCAUGUAUUGAAGAGGAACUUUGAGACGGUUGGUGUCUCUAACCAAAAGAAACACGAUGUAUGGACGAAGAUUACGGCCGACCUGAAUGGACAGUUCCACCAUGAAAGGACGGCCGUAGAGGUAAAGAAGCGAUGGUUCACCAUCACUUCUAAGUCAAGGAUGAAGCUGAAGAACUUUCGAGAUCAUCGGAAUGGAACUGGUGGCGGCCCUCCACCCCCUCCCCUUGACCCCAUUGAUGAACUUGUCGGGGACGUCUUGGGGCAAGACAGCAAGGUCAUCACGGGAUUUGAGGAGAUUGAUGACCUUGGACAUCAAAGGACUGUCGACAUUGAAGACGCAGCAGAGCCAGCGAGCCAGCUCUUCGUAGGUCAGGGAGGUGUUGAGGCACCAACAGUAAUAAUUGUGCCUGAGCCCACCCUGCAGCCACAGACUGAGGAGGGGGGUGCCCGGGGGAAGGUGCCAGCUGAGGGGGAUGCAGCAGCUGCUCAAGCAAAGGUGGCAGCUGCU
Eriocheir sinensis (Chinese mitten crab) is the source of this 586-nucleotide long non-coding RNA. RefSeq lists it as uncharacterized. The transcript has 3 exons. The record is from RefSeq and is a predicted model, not a curated record. Lineage: Eukaryota; Metazoa; Arthropoda; Malacostraca; Decapoda; Varunidae.